AAAUCUCUAGAGGUGGCUUUUUAUAGCCUGUUACAACUGAUUUCCUAACCGACUAGGAUCUAUCUCUAAUUUUAAAUGAUAAUAAAUAUUUACAAACACAACUCGUAUCAGAGUUGGUUAUCAUAUCCCAUGGGCCAAUAUCCUUCUUUAGCUAAUCUUUUCUCCAGCCCACUUUAGGCCCAUACUGGCAAAGCCGCUCUAGCACCCAAUCGACCAACCCUUACCGACCCCUUCUGUCAAUCGGCCGAAACACUGUAGCGUCAAUUGGCCGAUUCUCAACUGUACCUUUUAGCUUGCUUCAUCAGCCAGUCUUUUC
Molecule: long non-coding RNA, 316 nt
Filed under: Setaria viridis
Lineage: Eukaryota; Viridiplantae; Streptophyta; Magnoliopsida; Poales; Poaceae
Description: long non-coding RNA (SVIR_LNC000437)
Source: RNAcentral